Molecule: ribosomal RNA, 377 nt
Filed under: uncultured bacterium
Lineage: Bacteria
Description: bacterial SSU rRNA
Rfam family: Bacterial small subunit ribosomal RNA
Source: RNAcentral
UAAGACAGAGGUGCCAAGCGUUAGGCGGAAUCACUGGGCUUAAAGCGUGUGUAGGCGGACGUCUAAGUACCUUGUGAAAUCCCACGGCUCAACCGUGGAACGGCUGGGUAUACUGGGCGUCUUGAGCCACUUAGGGGUCGUCGGAACAAGCGGUGGAGCGGUGAAAUGCGUAGAUAUCGCUUGGAACGCCAACGGUGAAAACAGACGACUGGGAGUGUGCUGACGCUGAGACACGAAAGCCAGGGGAGCGAACGGGAUUAGAUACCCCGGUAGUCCUGGCCCUAAACGAUGUCGACUAGAUCGUGGUGGCUCUGACGCCAUCACGGUCGAAGCAAAAGUGCUAAGUCGACCGCCUGGGAAGUACGGUCGCAAGGCUA